GCCUGGGUGGCUCAGUCGGUUGAGCAUCUGACUUCCGCUCAGGUCAUGAUCUCGCGGUCUGUGAGUUCGAGCCCUACAUCAGGUU
RNAcentral lists this transfer RNA (85 nucleotides) under Felis catus (domestic cat). It matches the Rfam family "tRNA". Rfam says of the family: Transfer RNA (tRNA) molecules are approximately 80 nucleotides in length. Their secondary structure includes four short double-helical elements and three loops (D, anti-codon, and T loops). The record is from Rfam by way of RNAcentral. Lineage: Eukaryota; Metazoa; Chordata; Mammalia; Carnivora; Felidae.